RNAcentral lists this ribosomal RNA (253 nucleotides) under uncultured bacterium. RNAcentral's name for it is "partial 16S ribosomal RNA". It matches the Rfam family "Bacterial small subunit ribosomal RNA", at positions 524 to 776 of the family's 1533-position model. The record is from RNAcentral.
UACGUAGGGGGCUAGCGUUGUCCGGAUUUAUUGGGCGUAAAGAGCGUGUAGGCGGCCAAGUAGGUCCGGUGUGAAAACUCGAGGCUUAACCUCGAGAUGUCAUCGGAAACCAUUUGGCUAGAGUCCGGAAGAGGAAAGUGGAAUUCCUGGUGUAGCGGUGAAAUGCGUAGAUAUCAGGAGGAACACCGGUGGCGAAGGCGGCUUUCUGGACAGAAACUGACGCUGAUGCGCGAAAGCUAGGGGAGCAAACAGG